GUGGAUUAGAUACCGGGUAGUCCUAGCCCUAAACGGUGCGUGUUUUCUGUAAAAGGAAUCGACCCCUUUUGUGGCGAAGCUAACGCGUUAAACACGCCGCCUGGGGAGUACGGUCGCAAGAUUAAAACUCAAAGAAAUUGACGGGGGCCUGCACAAGCGGUGGAGUAUGUGGCUUAAUUCGAUGCAACGCGAAGAACCUUACCUGGCCUUGACAUGCAAGUGGUAGAACCAUGAAAGUGGGACGAUCCCGCAAGGGAAGCUUGCACAGGUGCUGCAUGGCUGUCGUCAACU
RNAcentral lists this ribosomal RNA (291 nucleotides) under uncultured bacterium. RNAcentral's name for it is "partial 16S ribosomal RNA". It matches the Rfam family "Bacterial small subunit ribosomal RNA", at positions 773 to 1060 of the family's 1533-position model. The record is from RNAcentral.